GCAAACUUGGUCAUUUAGAGGAAGUAAAAGUCGUAACAAGGUUUCCGUAGGUGAACCUGCGGAAGGAUCAUUAGUGAAUAUUAGCGCAUCUCUUCGGAGAGCGUGACCUCCACUUUCUAACUCUGUGCAUUUAUUUGGCGGUUCCGAUGGUUGGCCAGUUUUCGAAUUGGCCACUUGACGGACUGCGGCUCAUUUUAUAACACUAGUUAAAGUAUGUAACGAAAUAUCGAAACAAAAAAAAACUUUCAACAACGGAUCUCUUGGCUUGCUCAUCGAUGAAGAACGCAGC
This 289-nucleotide unclassified non-coding RNA is filed under the name uncultured fungus. Its description in RNAcentral is "partial contains small subunit ribosomal RNA, internal transcribed spacer 1, and 5.8S ribosomal RNA". The stretch from base 1 to 73 matches the Rfam family "Eukaryotic small subunit ribosomal RNA", at positions 1759 to 1831 of the family's 1831-position model. Lineage: Eukaryota; Fungi. The record is from RNAcentral.